CAAUAGCGUAUAUUAAAGUUGUUGCAGUUAAAAAGCUCGUAGUUGGAUUCCUGGUUGAAGCGACCGGUCGGGCGUUGAUUCGUCUGCACUGGAGUCGGUUUUGGCCAUCCUCUAGGAAAGUGCGUCUGGUAUUAAGUUAUCGGGCGUAUGAUCCUGGUCUUUUACUGUGAAAAAAUUAGAGUGUUUAAAGCAGGCCUUCGCCUUGAAUACAUUAGCAUGGAAUAAUAAGAUAGGACUUUGGUCUAUUUUGUUGGUUUGCAGACCGAAGUAAUGAUUAAUAGGGAUAGUUGGGGGUAUUUAUAUUCCGAUGUCAGAGGUGAAAUUCUUAGAUUUUCGGAAGAUAAACUUAUGCGAAAGCAUUUACCAAGGAUGUUUUCAUUAA
This 382-nucleotide ribosomal RNA is filed under the name uncultured eukaryote. RNAcentral's name for it is "partial 18S ribosomal RNA". It matches the Rfam family "Eukaryotic small subunit ribosomal RNA", at positions 592 to 976 of the family's 1831-position model. The record is from RNAcentral.